RNAcentral lists this ribosomal RNA (164 nucleotides) under Jacobaea paludosa. Its description in RNAcentral is "5.8S ribosomal RNA". It matches the Rfam family "5.8S ribosomal RNA". From Rfam's summary of the family: 5.8S ribosomal RNA (5.8S rRNA) is a component of the large subunit of the eukaryotic ribosome. It is transcribed by RNA polymerase I as part of the 45S precursor that also contains 18S and 28S rRNA. Lineage: Eukaryota; Viridiplantae; Streptophyta; Magnoliopsida; Asterales; Asteraceae. The record is from RNAcentral.
CAAACGACUCUCGGCAACGGAUAUCUCGGCUCACGCAUCGAUGAAGAACGUAGCAAAAUGCGAUACUUGGUGUGAAUUGCAGAAUCCCGUGAACCAUCGAGUUUUUGAACGCAAGUUGCGCCCAAAGCCUUUUGGCCGAGGGCACGUCUGCUUGGGCGUCACAC